This 1239-nucleotide ribosomal RNA is filed under the name Triticum aestivum (bread wheat). RNAcentral describes it as "partial small subunit ribosomal RNA". Lineage: Eukaryota; Viridiplantae; Streptophyta; Magnoliopsida; Poales; Poaceae. The record is from RNAcentral.
AUGAGCUGCCUGGGGUGGCUCAACAGGAGGAAGGGGUCCGGGAGCGGGAGGCGGGGCUCCUCGGCCUCGGCGCCGGCCACCACGAUGACGACCAUGACCACCACCACCACCACCACCACCACCACCGGGUCGGCGGUGAGCACGAGCCGGUCGGACGACUCCGGGGCGGGGCGGCCCACCAGCAAGUCCACGGGCUCCGCCUCCUCGCAGCGGAGCAUCUCCUCGCUCUACGAGGAGCGCGGCCACGGCCAGCUGCGCGCCUUCGAGUACGACGACCUCCGGGCCGCCACCAACGACUUCGGCCGCGCGCAGAAGCUCGGCGAGGGCGGCUUCGGCGGCGUCUACAAGGGCUUCGUCCGCCCGCUCGACCCCCGGGCCGACCGCAUCGCCGUCGCCGUCAAGCGCCUCAACACGCGCGGCCUCCAGGGACAUAAGCAGUGGCUGGCAGAAGUACAGUUCCUUGGGGUUCUUGAGCACCCAAAUCUUGUAAACCUUCUCGGAUAUUGUGCCGUUGAUGGUGAAAGGGGGGCCCAAAGAUUACUGGUCUAUGAGUACAUGCCCAACAAGAGCCUGGAAGAUCACUUGUUCAGCCGAAUCCAUCCUGCUCUCUCGUGGAACAGAAGGCUUCAGAUUAUCUUGGGUGCCGCUGAAGGAUUGGCUUACCUCCAUGAAGGGCUGGAACUUCAGGUGAUCUACCGGGACUUCAAAGCGUCGAACGUGCUGCUGGACAAGGACUUCCAAGCGAAGCUAUCAGACUUUGGGCUCGCGAGGGAGGGGCCAACAGAGGGGAACACUCAUGUCUCAACUGCGGCUGUGGGGACGCACGGGUACGCGGCGCCGGAAUACAUCGAGAAGGGGCACCUGACGGCGAAGAGCGACGUGUGGGGCUUCGGGGUGGUGCUGUACGAGAUCCUGACGGGGCGGCGGUCGCUGGACAGGAACCGGCCGCAGGGGGAGCAGAAGCUGAUCGAGUGGGUGGUCCAGUUCCCGCCGGACAGCCGCAACUUCCGCAUGAUCAUGGACCCCAAGCUCCGCGGCGAGUACUCCUCCAAGGCGGCCCGGGAGAUCGCCAAGCUCGCCCAGAGCUGCCUCCUCAAGAACCCCAAGGAGCGGCCCGCCAUGAGCGAGAUCGUCGAGGUGCUCAGGCGAGCCGUGCAGACCGAGCAAGCCUAUGUGGACAAGGCACCCGUCGCCGGCAACGGGAAGAGGGUCAACGUGGCGCCGCCGUCGAGGAGGUGA